This 360-nucleotide unclassified non-coding RNA is filed under the name Hevea brasiliensis (rubber tree). The record is from RNAcentral. Lineage: Eukaryota; Viridiplantae; Streptophyta; Magnoliopsida; Malpighiales; Euphorbiaceae.
AUAUUAUCCAACUUAAGAAUUAAGCUAAAAUUAACUUAUAAAUUUCUCUUUCUCUUAUUGCAUAGCACGGCAUUGGGAACAUGGAUAUAAAUUGCGGUUACAGGUAAUAAAAGCAAGCCUGUAAAAGCCAUAACAUAACAAUAAUGGCUUAUCUUGAAAAAAUUUGCAAAGUUCGUGAAAUCAAUAAAUAUUUAAAGAUAUGUAAAACUUAGAUACACAAACAAAUAAUGAACAGAAUGACAGCAAAUAAAACAUUAACCCUCUAUUUGGAUAUAUGGAAAGUAUGGGGGAAGGAAAUAACUAGAGGAAAAUAAAGAAAGAUUUUAGCUUUCCUUUGUUUGGAAAUAGAGGAGAAAAUAA